CCUACGGGGGGCAGCAGUGGGGGAUAUUGCACCAUGGGGGGAACCCUGAUGCAGCGACGCCGCGUGGGUGAAGAAGCGCCUCGGCGCGUAAAGCCCUGUCAGCAGGGAAGAAAAUGACGGUACCUGAAGAAAAAGCAUCGGCUAACUCCGUGCCAGCAGCCGCGGUAAUACGGAGGAUGCGAGCGUUAUCCGGAUUUAUUGGGUUUAAAGGGUGCGUAGGCGGGUUAUCAAGUCAGCGGUAAACUCGUGGAGCUCAACUCCAUCCAGCCGUUGAAACUGAUGAUCUUGAGUGGGCGAGAAGUAUGCGGAAUGCGUGGUGUAGCGGUGAAAUGCAUAGAUAUCACGCAGAACUCCGAUUGCGAAGGCAGCAUACCGGCGCCCGACUGACGCUGAAGCACGAAAGCGUGGGUAUCGAACAGGAUUAGAUACCCCAGUAGUC
This 439-nucleotide ribosomal RNA is filed under the name uncultured bacterium. RNAcentral's name for it is "partial 16S ribosomal RNA". It matches the Rfam family "Bacterial small subunit ribosomal RNA", at positions 338 to 795 of the family's 1533-position model. The record is from RNAcentral.